RNAcentral lists this ribosomal RNA (301 nucleotides) under uncultured bacterium. RNAcentral's name for it is "partial 16S ribosomal RNA". It matches the Rfam family "Bacterial small subunit ribosomal RNA", at positions 509 to 809 of the family's 1533-position model. The record is from RNAcentral.
CAGCAGCCACGGAAAUACGUAGGGGGCAAGCGUUAUCCGGAAUUAUUGGGCGUAAAGCGCGCGCAGGCGGAUAGGUCAGUCUGUCUUAAAAGUUCGGGGCUUAACCCCGUGAUGGGAUGGAAACUGCCAAUCUAGAGUAUCGGAGAGGAAAGUGGAAUUCCUAGUGUAGCGGUGAAAUGCGUAGAUAUUAGGAAGAACACCAGUGGCGAAGGCGACUUUCUGGACGAAAACUGACGCUGAGGCGCGAAAGCCAAGGGAGCGAACGGGAUUAGAUACCCCUGUAGUCCCUGUCUCUUAUACA